This 140-nucleotide unclassified non-coding RNA is filed under the name uncultured Leotiomycetes. Its description in RNAcentral is "sequence contains ITS2". Lineage: Eukaryota; Fungi; Ascomycota; Leotiomycetes. The record is from RNAcentral.
UACCCAAUCAAGCCUCGCUUGGUGUUGGAGCUCGUCGUGUACGGCUCUCAAAUGCAAUAGCAGUCUAAACAGGACCCUAAGCAUAGUAAACUUUCUUGCUUUUGGGCUCGGUGGUGGCUUGCCGAAACCUAAAUUUUUAA